RNAcentral lists this ribosomal RNA (474 nucleotides) under uncultured organism. RNAcentral describes it as "partial 16S ribosomal RNA". It matches the Rfam family "Bacterial small subunit ribosomal RNA", at positions 330 to 796 of the family's 1533-position model. The record is from RNAcentral.
CGUACACUCCUGCGGGAGGCAGCAGUGGGGAAUAUUGCACAAUGGGCGCAAGCCUGAUGCAGCCAUGCCGCGUGUAUGAAGAAGGCCUUCGGGUUGUAAAGUACUUUCAGCGGGGAGGAAGGCGAUAAGGUUAAUAACCUUGUCGAUUGACGUUACCCGCAGAAGAAGCACCGGCUAACUCCGUGCCAGCAGCCGCGGUAAUACGGAGGGUGCAAGCGUUAAUCGGAAUUACUAGGCGUAAAGCGCACGCAGGCGGUCUGUCAAGUCGGAUGUGAAAUCCCCGGGCUCAACCUGGGAACUGCAUUCGAAACUGGCAGGCUAGAGUCUUGUAGAGGGGGGUAGAAUUCCAGGUGUAGCGGUGAAAUGCGUAGAGAUCUGGAGGAAUACCGGUGGCGAAGGCGGCCCCCUGGACAAAGACUGACGCUCAGGUGCGAAAGCGUGGGGAGCAAACAGGAUUAGAUACCCUUGUAGUCC